AGUACGGCGAAGCUACCAUCUGCUGGAUUACGGCUGAACGCCUCUAAGCCGGAAUCCAUGCUGGAUAAGCAGUGUUGUACACCGUGCUCAAUGCUACAAGAAAAAGGCUAGGUCAGGCUUCGGCCUGACCAAAAUUCAAGCUGCUAUACCUCUGGCUGCAUUGACUUGUGGUCAGAGUGUAUGGUGAUCAUAGCAAUUGCAAGUAUUGGGCUCGAUAAAUCCUUUGAAGACGACUUAAUUGCAUCCGGGUAUUGUAAGUGUUGAGAGUAGGCUUAGUCUUACGAUCCACUGAGAUUCAUCCCGUGUUGCGCCGAUUUGU
This 319-nucleotide non-coding RNA is filed under the name Perkinsus marinus ATCC 50983. Its description in RNAcentral is "Eukaryotic large subunit ribosomal RNA". It matches the Rfam family "Eukaryotic large subunit ribosomal RNA", at positions 3087 to 3401 of the family's 3401-position model. The record is from Rfam by way of RNAcentral. Lineage: Eukaryota; Perkinsozoa; Perkinsida; Perkinsidae.